AUAACUAUUACUUUUUAAUCCGAGCAACUCAAAUAUUUUCGCUGACUACGAAAACAAUUUGCCGACAAAUCCGUUAUUUUGCCGACAAUUUGUUUUUAGGGGGUGUCACCCCCCCCCCCCAAGCUACGGCCCUGCUUAAAAGUUUAAAGCCGGUUUUCCACUUCGCCCGUAUCGUACCGAAACGUACUGGUGAGCAUGCGCAGAUUGAAAAGAGGUUUAUAAAACCGCGU
Molecule: non-coding RNA, 230 nt
Organism: Paramuricea clavata
Lineage: Eukaryota; Metazoa; Cnidaria; Anthozoa; Malacalcyonacea; Plexauridae
Source: the annotation of a GenBank genome assembly